UUAUUUCAAGGUCAAAUAGAAGAACUGCACUCACAUUAACUCAGAAGCAAGAUGUGUUUUUUUCUGAAGUUCAGUCAUAUAUGAGUAUUUGACAUAAAAUUCAUAAAGAUGAAACUGGUGAGAUUUUCAAAACUACAUAAAUGCCUUUAAUCUGCAGCUUCAGAAAUAUAUAUUCAAGUUGCUGUCUCCAGGGUACCAGCUAUCCUUAUGCAUGCUCUCAUGGCAACGAGUCACUGUCUUUUCCCUGUGCAGCUACGUUCUACAACAUGUGGAAUGCUCUCUUUCUCGCUGUAUAUUGAGACACUGUAGGUGGUUUGCAGUAUGCUGAACUGAAACCAGCUCUCUUCUACAGACUUUUCUGUGCAACUAUGAGAUCUAGAAAUGCACUUCAUUUUUCAAUAAAAGCAAAGUACCACAGGAUCA
This 423-nucleotide long non-coding RNA is filed under the name Phasianus colchicus (ring-necked pheasant). Its description in RNAcentral is "lncRNA (ENSPCLG00000004222.1)". Lineage: Eukaryota; Metazoa; Chordata; Aves; Galliformes; Phasianidae. The record is from RNAcentral.